This is a long non-coding RNA of Trichomycterus rosablanca, 771 nucleotides long. RefSeq lists it as uncharacterized. The transcript is spliced from 2 exons. The record is from RefSeq and is a predicted model, not a curated record. NCBI's taxonomy places the organism in Eukaryota, Metazoa, Chordata, Actinopteri, Siluriformes, Trichomycteridae.
CCAACCUGAUCCGGGAGUUCCACCUCCGAAAUCCUAAUGGACCCGGUAGGCCGCCUGGAGGCGGUCGUUAAGGGGGGGUACUGUUAUAAUCCGCUCUUACCUUGUUACUUUCGUUUUCUAUGGUUAUAUUUUCAUUUGUAUUUUCCGCUUGUGUACUUUGUUAGUUCUGUUAUCCUCCGUUUUAUUUUUCGUUAAAGUUUAUUUCGGACUUUCGCCUUUUGUUCUUGUUAGAUAUGUGUGUGUGUUUUUGCCUGCCCGGCUUCCUUCUCCCCCCAGCGGCUUGGAGGGGUACUGUCCCCAGAAAUUGCAGUGGAAGCCAGCCAAUGGAUCGCUGGAGGGCGGACCUCACUCACCUGUACCUCAUUUUCCAUCUAAUCAGCUACCGCUUAUAAACGCCGGCUUUUCCACCACGCAUCGCCAGAUUGUCUGCUUGUCACCGCGCCCAGCGAUCCAUUCAUCAUCUGGCUUCCCUGUUGGUUCCUGGACUUGGCUCCUAGCUCCUGCGACCCUGGUUCAUCUUCCACUACCACCCCUGCACUCCUGUUGGUUCCUGGACUUGGCUCCUAGCUCCUGUGACCCUGGUUCUUCUCCCACUGCCACUGUUUGUUCUGCCUAAGCUCUGGACAGUGUUGGACACCAACCCCUCUUGUUCCUGGACUCAGAUCAUAGCUCCUCUUACCCACAGUAUUGCUCCAGCCGCUUCAGUGUCCUCUGUUUGGACCUAUCACCAUUUCCCCUGUUUGUCUGAAUCUAAUAAAUAUUCAUUGUCAA